This 271-nucleotide long non-coding RNA is filed under the name Ananas comosus (pineapple). RNAcentral's name for it is "long non-coding RNA (ACOM_LNC005559)". The record is from RNAcentral. Lineage: Eukaryota; Viridiplantae; Streptophyta; Magnoliopsida; Poales; Bromeliaceae.
AAGGAGGGACCUAAGAUGAAUCUAGUAGGGUCCGAAGAGAGAUAUGGUUUAAGUAGGGUAUAAUCCAGUGACGGAAGAGAAGGUAAAGGCGAAAGCGGCGCCAUUGCUGAAAGAAAAAGAAAAAUCUGAAGGGUCGAGAAGAAGGAAAUGGGUCAAGCUCAGAGAUGAAGAAGAGGUCGGAGAAAACAAAGAGGAACAAAGAGAAGGCGAAGAAAACGAGACCUUAGUUAAAAAGGAACGAAGAAAGAGAAAGCUUGGCGAAGAAGAAAAG